UUCGACAUUAUCUCCCUUGUAAUAUAAACUACAUCAACCUAAAAAUAAACUUCUAUUCAUAACAUAAAAAUCCUCACGUUCAACAUAAGCUAUAAAAUCAUAUUUACACUCAUAACUCGUAAAUAUACAAGUACAUCAAAGGUCCUACGGUUCAUAAUCAAGGGUAAAAAUAUUGGCAGCCAUCUUUUCCCUCCAUCUAUUCAUAUAGAAGCCAUUAACUUGUUCUAGUGAACCAUUGAUGCUCAAGAAGAUAAUAAGUCAUGGUAAAUGAGGAAAAAUAAUUAAAUUAAUAUGUACAAGUAAAUAUUGAAUUGUAAUUAUAAAAAAAAAAAAAAAAACCCUUACGAAACGACUUGUUUAGUGUUUUGGUACUCCUUUCCAUGGCAAGAGUAUCCGUUUUCAAAUCAAUGUUGAUUUCCUUCAGUGGUUGUGGGACAACAAUGCUAGCAGCCCUGUUUGGGCUCCAUUUUUCCAAAACAUGCAAAAACACACUUCUAGAUGAAGAUCAUUCUGAUUAGUUUGCAUUUUGAAAUGAAGAUAGGAGUAAGUGUUGAUUUAACAAAACUACCAUUCAACCCCUACCCUAACCUACCAAAGACUGCAUCUUCAUAUAAUCUUUAGUUAGGACUUUGCUACACAUACAUCAAGUUUUACAAAAUGCCAUAUAUCACUUUAUCAUUUGUCAAUUUAAAAACAGUUUCAACUUUUUCAUCCAAUUUUUUCCCUCCACGACAUUUUAUAUAUUCCCUUGUUUACAAUUUUUUUGUACAACAUAAUCCCUUUGGUUAUGGUUAGUACUUGGGAUAGGCUACAUCUAGAAUUCAAUGGUACCAAAAAUAGACAAAAAUGAAGUGACAACUUUUUAUUAUUCCAAUUCUGUCUAAUAAAUUUCUAACAACUUUUUAAAUAUUGAAGUGACAACUUUUUAUUUUUCACCAAUUGCAUAAUAUAUGAAGUGUUUGGAUGUUAUACAUUCGACUACCUCAACCUAUAAACUCUACAAGUCCCCCACUGAUGACUUAGCUUGUAGCGCCUAUGGCGGAGUUCAAAGACAAAUAUGUGAAUUGGCGACUCAAACAAAAGAGAACUCUAUCAAGACUAGACAUAUUGCAUAUUAAUGCGUCUGUUUCAUUAUAAUCUAGAAUUUGAUAGUGACAAUUUUUCCCAGACAUGCCUUUGAUAAUAGAUUCCAAUGCUCAUAUUGUUUCAGGUCCAAGAACUGUAGAUGGCUGAUGGCCUAAAAUAGAGGGUUUGUAUUUUCUGUUUCUUUGCCUCGGUUCAGACUUAGGAAAGCUUUAAAAUGACUCCAGAAUUCCAAUCACGGGAAUACAAACAGGCUAAUAGGGCAUCAUAUCAACCAAUUAUAUAGCACUAAUUAGGCUUCCUUCCUCAUGUAAUUCAUGCAUAGACAAGCAAUGAGUGUUUGCCACCUAAACUUAAAAUGCACCAAAAGAAGACCGUAUUUGAUAAACUAACAGAUAUAAGCCUAAAAUCAAUACAAAUUAUGACAACCCAUCACUGCUCUUUCCAAAUCAUACAAAUACACCAAAAAGUUCUAAGGCGUUGCACCAUUUUCCUCCUCCUCAGUUUUAGGUGGCAACUCGGCAUUCAACAUACAUUAUAAUAACUUGAAAUCAAAUUACACUAUACACUCACAACUCACAAUUCACAACAUACAAAUACACCAAAAAGUUCUAAGUGUUAAUAUCAAAUUUCAUACCAAACUCAACUACGUACAAGUUCUCGAGUUUUUUUAAGUACAAAUGUCAAAUAAAUCUAGUAAGAUCAAGCAACCAAAUGAUGAAGUGGGCACACACAUUUGUUUUCCAUCACCACAUCCACUUCAUUGUAUGACUUUAUCUUCUUUAUCAACUCAAACCUCAUCCACUUCAUUAAAGCCUUAGUUUCAUUAAAAAAAUAAAUAAAUAAAAAUAAAAAUAAAAAUCCUAAUUUCUCUAACAUAGAAAGCAUAUACACCACCUAGAAUCCAAUUCAUCAAGGCUGGGAAAAGAAAAUUCAAAACGCAACAUAUACUUAAACCCUAGAACCAAAAAAUUGCCUACAAUUUCAAAAAAUCAAUAUUGGAAUCCCAUAUUAGCUUCUUGAAAUUGAAGAAGAACAAUAUAACUUACCUCAAAUUAAAAGGAAAGCAACACUAGAAUUUUGAAGAGCACUUAUGAUUUGGGAUUUUUUCUUCUCAAUGUUGAAUAUCACUGUUCAUUUAUGAUUUGAGGAGCAAAUUAUUAUAUUUGAAAUUUCUUUUGUUUGAUUUUGCAGAUUUUAGCUUUCGUUGAGACUUGAGAGAGGGAAUGAAAUGAAAAGUAGAAGAAAAGUCGAUUCAUGGGAAGAAGAGAUUUC
This 2358-nucleotide long non-coding RNA is filed under the name Olea europaea subsp. europaea. Lineage: Eukaryota; Viridiplantae; Streptophyta; Magnoliopsida; Lamiales; Oleaceae. The record is from RNAcentral.